RNAcentral lists this long non-coding RNA (362 nucleotides) under Homo sapiens (human). RNAcentral describes it as "LHRI_LNC1875.1". The record is from RNAcentral. Lineage: Eukaryota; Metazoa; Chordata; Mammalia; Primates; Hominidae.
GAGUAAAAUGCCUGAUUCUCCUGUGUGGCCAGUCUCGUGUCAAUUAAACUCUCUACUACAAUGCCAUGGUGUCAAUGCAUCUUGUCUGUGCAGUGCGCAGAAAGAACCCACUGGCAAUUACAUUACCAGUAGCUAUCGCUCUUCUGUCCUUCAAACAGGAAAUACUUCAACCCUGGAUGUCUAUGUUAUCUCACUUUAUCUGUACAGCAAUCCUGUCCUCCAGUGACUAUAUUGCAAUGAGUUAAGAAGAGAGUUUCAGAAAGAUAACAUGCCUGGCCAAGGGGAAGAAAACAGAUUACCAAUAUCAGGAAUGAAGAAGGAUAUAUUACUGCAGUUCCUAUUGUCUUAGAAUAAAGAAUGGC